GAGUUUGAUCAUGGCUCAGAGCGAACGCUGGCGGCGUGCCUAACACAUGCAAGUCGAACGUGAACGGGAGCAAUCCUUAGUAAAGUGGCGUACGGGUGAGUAACGCGUAGGCAAUCUACCCCAGAGUCUGGAAUAACCUGCCGAAAGGCGGGCUAAUACUGGAUAGAGCGACGGAAUCCGUAAUUGGGUUUUUCGGGAAAGGGAGGUCGUAAGAUCCCUUGCUCUGGGAUGAGCCUGCGUCCCAUCAGCUAGUUGGUAAGGUAAUGGCUUACCAAAGGCGAUGACGGGUAGCUGGUCUGAGAGGAUGACCAGGCCACACUGGAACUGAAACACGGUCCAGACUCCUACGGGAGGCAGCAGUGGGGAAUCUUGCGCAAAUGGACG
RNAcentral lists this ribosomal RNA (384 nucleotides) under uncultured spirochete. Its description in RNAcentral is "bacterial SSU rRNA". It matches the Rfam family "Bacterial small subunit ribosomal RNA", at positions 9 to 377 of the family's 1533-position model. The record is from RNAcentral. Lineage: Bacteria; Pseudomonadati; Spirochaetota; Spirochaetia; Spirochaetales.